Molecule: ribosomal RNA, 465 nt
Filed under: uncultured bacterium
Lineage: Bacteria
Description: partial 16S ribosomal RNA
Rfam family: Bacterial small subunit ribosomal RNA
Source: RNAcentral
GAUGAACGCUGGCGGCGUGCUUAACACAUGCAAGUCGAACGGAAAGGCUCCUGCUUGCCGUGGUACUCGAGUGGCGAACGGGUGAGUAACACGUGGGUGAUCUGCCCUGCACUUCGGGAUAAGCCUGGGAAACUGGGUCUAAUACCGGAUAGGACGAUGGUUUGGAUGCCAUUGUGGAAAGUUUUUCGGUGUGGGAUGAGCUCGCGGCCUAUCAGCUUGUUGGUGGGGUAAUGGCCUACCAAGGCGUCGACGGGUAGCCGGCCUGAGAGGGUGUACGGCCACAUUGGGACUGAGAUACGGACCAGACUCCUACGGGCGGCAGCAGUGGGGAAUAUUGCACAAUGGGCGCAAGCCUGAUGCAGCGACGCCGCGUGGGGGAUGACGGCCUUCGGGUUGUAAACACCUUUCGCUAGGGACGAAGCGCAAGUGACGGUACCUGGAGAAGAAGCACCGGCUAACUACGUG